This 253-nucleotide ribosomal RNA is filed under the name uncultured bacterium. Its description in RNAcentral is "partial 16S ribosomal RNA". It matches the Rfam family "Bacterial small subunit ribosomal RNA", at positions 524 to 776 of the family's 1533-position model. The record is from RNAcentral.
UACGAGGGGGGCGAGCGUUGUUCGGCAUUAUUGGGCGUAAAGGGCGCGUAGGCGGUGCGGUAAGUCACCUGUGAAAUCUCCGGGCUCAACUCGGAGCCUGCAGGCGAAACUGCCGUGCUAGAGGGUGGGUGAGGUGCGUGGAAUUCCCGGGGUAGCGGUGAAAUGCGUAGAUAUCGGGAGGAACACCUGUGGCGAAAGCGGCGCACUGGCCCCCAUCUGACGCUGAGGCGCGAAAGCUAGGGGAGCAAACAGG